UAAACACAGUCAUGGUGCUGUUUGUCCAUCUUGAGUUUUAUUAAAUCUUCCUCCACCCUUCUCCCUGUCUGUCCAGUUGUUUCCAUGGUAGCAUAUUUUAAGGUUAUCUGUGUCUUACAUAAAGACUGUUUCCACUUAUCUUUUCAUUUGUUGAUAACUCAGACAUCUGGGUAUCUUAUUGAAUUGUCUUUGUGACCGCAUUGUAAAUUUUUGUGUCAGACUGAGGGAGAGGAAGAUAUUUUUGAGUGGAAAUACAAUUAGACCUUCAGAUCAGUGAGACAGUGUAACUGUUUAGAAAAGAUUUUCUUUUUGCUGAAGCCUCAUUUAAACAAUGGUUGUGACUGUAACUUUGUUUCUAGUGUACUAUCAUAUUGCCACACCCUUUUUUCUGUACAUAGUUUUUUCAGAAAUUGUAAUGAAGAAAAUGCUUUCUUUGUAAUUGUGAGUCAGUGUGACGUUUUUGGUGCAUACUCUUUUGACACCAGUAUGUAAGUACAUACAAAUACAUUUUUAUAAAUAACAAACCUGUAUAUUCUCUCUGAUUCUUGAACAGUAAUGCUAGCACCUCAGUAAAGCACAGUCUUCUGACACUUGGGACAUAACUAAGGG
Long non-coding RNA from Thalassophryne amazonica, 609 nucleotides. RefSeq lists it as uncharacterized. NCBI's taxonomy places the organism in Eukaryota, Metazoa, Chordata, Actinopteri, Batrachoidiformes, Batrachoididae. The record is from RefSeq and is a predicted model, not a curated record. The transcript has 3 exons.